Molecule: small nucleolar RNA, 70 nt
Organism: Kryptolebias marmoratus (mangrove rivulus)
Lineage: Eukaryota; Metazoa; Chordata; Actinopteri; Cyprinodontiformes; Rivulidae
Source: Ensembl
UCUGGCUGUGAUGACAAACUUGCCCUCACUGAGAAGAAUCUUGAUUGAGACAUUCUUUUACUGAGCCGCC